RNAcentral lists this long non-coding RNA (4782 nucleotides) under Salvia miltiorrhiza (redroot sage). RNAcentral's name for it is "long non-coding RNA (SMIL_LNC006608)". Lineage: Eukaryota; Viridiplantae; Streptophyta; Magnoliopsida; Lamiales; Lamiaceae. The record is from RNAcentral.
UUUCAACUUCUGGAUUUCUUCUAAGUCAUCCCCUGUUAUGAUCAUGUCAUCAACGUAAAUGACUAAGCAAGAAAUAAGAUCACCUCGUUUCUUCAAGAAUAAGGUGUGGUCUGAAUUGCUUUGCUGGUACCCGAAUUUCUUCAUAGCUGCGGUGAAUCUUCCAAACCAAGCUCUGGGAGACUGCUUGAGCCCAUAUAAGGUUUUCUUCAACUUGCAAACUUCACCCUCUCCAAAAUCUCCUGAAAAACCUUGAGGCACCUCCAUGUAGACUUCCCUCUCUUCUUCAAGCUCUCCAUGAAGAAAAGCAUUUGUAACAUCGAACUGAUGAAGAUCCCAGUCCUUAUUAGCAGCAAUUGAGAGGAGCACCCUGACAGUGUUCAUCUUUGCCACAGGUGAGAAGGUCUCCUCAUAGUCGAUCCCAUACAUCUGUGUGUAUCCUUUUGCGACCAAUCGAGCUUUGUAACGCUCAAUAGAUCCAUCGGGUCUUCUUUUGAUUGUGAAAACCCAUCUGCAUCCCACAGUUUUCUUCCCUUUUGGCAACCGACACUUCUCCCAUGUGUGAUUCCGGUUUAGGGCUCCUAUCUCUUUCUUCAUAGCAUUUCUCCAAUGCUCGAUCUUCAGGGCUUGCUCUGCUGUUUGUGGAAUCUCCUCAUCAUAUAAGGCCGCUUCAUAGGCUGUGGCAUUUUUGGACAAGUUUCCCUUGGCGAUAUUCCCAACUGAGUAUCGCGAAUUCCUCACAAUUUUCUCUGGGGUAUACCGUUUAGGAGGUACACCCCGAUUACUCCUGGGUGGUAGCACAUAUCUCCCAGUAUCUCCAUCUACUGUAUUAUCCUCCUGUUCUUCUUCAAUGACUUGAGAAAUAUUAUCAGCGGAAUCAGAAGCCACAAUAGUAGGUUCAGAAGAUCUUACCUCAGAUAUCAGUGGCGGAGAAGAUAUAGGCUCAUGCAGCGGACUAGAUUGUUCUGGAGUGGAUGAAACAUGCUCGGUGGCAAGGCUAACUUUUUCUGUUGGGUCUGCUUCCGGGCCUGGAAUUGGUAACCAACUUAACAGGUCGAUCUCACUCUCCCCCUGACUGUUAAGGUGGGGACUGUAAAAAUACUCAGUUUCAAGAAAGUCGCAGUUCAUGGUAGUUAUGAUUUGACGGGUUUUAGGAUUGUAACAUCUAUACCCUUUUUGGUUAACACCAUACCCGACAAACACACACUUAAUGGCACAAGGAGAGAGUUUAGUCCGUUCAUGCUUGGGAAUAUGAACGAAUACGGAACUACCGAAAAACUCGAGGUUGAAGAGUAAGAGCGAGAGGUAUAUCAGAAAGAGUGGAUAAUUUCUGUAAAGGAGUUUGAAGCUGGAGGGUUCUGGUGGGAAGAUGAUUUAUAAGGUAAGCAGAGGUGGCGACAGCUUCAGGCCAGAAGUGGGUGGGUACCUUAGACUCAAGCAUCAUAGCACGGGUCAUUUCAAGGAGAAUUCUAUUUUUUCGUUCAGCAACACCGUUUUGUUCGGGAGUAUGGGAACAAGUGGUUUGAUGAAUUAUCCCUCUUUGUUGACAGAAGUCCUGCAUGGAUCGAUUGACAAACUCCCCCCCAUUAUCGGUUCUAAGGGUUUGGAUAUGUUUUUGAAAUUGAGUUUGAAUCAUUUUAAAGAAAUGAGUGAACUUUUCAAAAACUUGAGAUUUAUUUUUGAGAAAAUACACCCAUGUCAUCCUAGUGCAAUCAUCAAUAAAGAGAAGAAAAUAUCUAAAACCUUGACCCCCCACAACAGGUGAAGGACCCCAAACAUCAGAAUGAACAAGAGAAAAUAUGGAGUUCACUUGUGUGUCAUUAGGCUUAAAAGAUUUUCGGUGGCUUUUAGCUAAAACACAAGUCUCACAAGAUAAAGUCUCAUUUUUCACUAAUUUAGGAAAUAAAAGCUUAAGAUAACCCGUGGAUGGAUGCCCUAACCGACGGUGCCAAAGCCAGGCUUCCCGGUCAGCAGUUCCGUGAGCCAGCAUCACCUUUCCUUGUUGAGCUAUCUCAUUCACAUAGUAUAAUCCAUCCCGCUCAGUGCCACGCCCAAUAAUCUCCCCCGUCCUGAUAUCCUGAAGAAAACAAAAGUGGGGAUGCAUUAUCAUGGUGAUUUAUGCUUAUUUUACUCUAUUUUUAAGGGUUUGUUUGUGCGUGGUUUAAGUUAAUCUUCUGGAAAUUGGUGCUUUUUAUGGUGUAUUCUAUGCUUUGCAGGAGAUUUAGGCUUUCGAGAUGGAAGAAUGCAAUUUUGGAGAUUUUUGGAUGAAUUUGGCGUUUUCUAGGUGCUCUGGUCUCCAGUGCAGAGAAAUCGACAUCUCCAGAGAAAUCGAAGCUCCAGUGCAGCGAAAUCAAAGCCCAGACCAGAGGAGCCGAAUGCCUGACCAGAGAAAUCAAGAAUCUAGAGCAGAGGAAUCACCAUUCCUCUGCAGAGAAGUUCCAGAACAGAGGAAUAGAAGCCACGCGCUGUAAAGCCAGAGGAAUCGAUCGACAGAGAAAUCAACCAUUCCUCAGGGGUCAGCGAAAUCAAGAAGCCAGUGUAGCGAAGUCAUCACCAGAGCAGCCAAGUGAGAGUCAGAGCAGAGGGGAAAGAAGCAAUACAGCGGAAUCAAGGGAUGGCUUUGUAAUAUCUCGGAACUUGGGGGGUUAGUUGGCAUAAAAUGGGGUGUUUUAUGAUAAUAAGGAAAAGAUGGAGGGUUUGGUGUGAAAACACAAAACCUAUACCUGCUUUUAAUCUCCCCAAACCACACCAGCCGCCUCCCCCUCACGCCCGCUGCCUCCAUUCUGCCCAGCCGGAACGACCGGUCCACGGCCACCGCCGCUGCUNAUGUUAUUAUCAUAAUGCAGAGAAUAAAGAGAAGCAAGAUGAUUGUUAUUGUAUUGCUUGAUCUAUCUUCAUAUUACAAUGAUAUCAAUUUAUAGAAUAAAAAAUGAGCAAAGUCAUGCAAAAUCCCUAAAGUAACUAAGAUAUCUUUGACUCAUACAAAAUAUUUCUUAUGACUUCUACAUGUAGUUGUUUCUUGACUUUGUAUUGAGUAUUUUCAACACUCCCCCUCAAGUUGAGUAACGGGAUUCCCGAUGCUCAACUUGCCAAGAACUUCUGAAAAACUCUUGGAAUUCACAGCUUUGGUAAGAAUGUCUGCGAGUUGGUCUUCGGAUCUUACAAAGGGUAGAGUCACAAUACCUCAUUCGAUCUUCUCUUUGAUAAAGUGCCUAUCAACUUCUACAUGCUUGGUUCUAUCAUGUUGCACCGGAUUUUCUGAUAUGCUGAUGGCUGCUUUAUUGUCACAGAACAUUUGACACGUCUUUGUCGGUUGAAGACCCAAUUCAGUCAACAGUCUUCUUAGCCACAGGACUUCAGUCAGCCCACUCUUGAUUCCCCUGAACUCGGCUUCUGCACUAGAGAGUGCUACCACCUUUCUGUUUCUUACUCCUCCAUGAGACAAGAUUCCCUCCAAUAAAGGCAAAGUAUCCUGCUGUUGACUUCCGGUCAACUGGAUUUCCAGCCCAGUCAGCAUCAGUGUAGGCUUGUAUCUCGAGAUGUCCAGUCUUCCUGAACAGUACUCCAUAAUCAAAGGUUCAUUUCAAGUAUCUCACAAUUCUGAGUGCUGCUUCCAUAUGGUCAGCUUGUGGUUGGUGCAUAAACUGACUCACAACUCCAACAGCAUAUGCAAUAUCAGGCCGAGUAUGGGAAAGAUAUAUAAGUUUCCCUACCAAACGUUGAUAUUUUCCUCGAUCCGCCAAUUCAGCUCCCUUCACAAUCUGUAGCCCAUGAUUGACAGCCAUAGGCGUCUCAGCUGGCUUGCAAUCUAGCAUCCCAGUUUCUGCAAGAAGGUCAAGAGUAUACUUCUUCUGAUUGAUAAAAAUCCCUUUCCUCGAUCUGAGUACUUCGAUCCCGAUGAAGUACUUUAGUCUCCCAAGGUCCUUCAUUUCGAACUCCUUGAAAAGAUUUGCUUUCAACUUCUGGAUUUCUUCUAAGUCAUCCCCUGUUAUGAUCAUGUCAUCAACGUAAAUGACUAAGCAAGAAAUAAGAUCACCUCGUUUCUUCAAGAAUAAGGUGUGGUCUGAAUUGCUUUGCUGGUACCCGAACUUCUUCAUAGCUGUGGUGAAUCUUCCAAACCAAGCUCUGGGAGACUGUUUGAGUCCAUAUAAAGUUUUUUUCAAUCUGCAUACCUUCCCUUCCUCGAACUCAUCUGAAAAACCUUGGGGUGCAUCCAUGUAUACCUCCCGUUCUUCUUCAAGCUCACCAUGAAGAAAGGCAUUUGUAACAUCAAACUGAUGAAGAUCCCAAUCCUUGUUUGCAGCAAUGGAGAGGAGCACCCUGACAGUGUUCAUCUUUGCCACAGGCGAGAAAGUUUCUGCAUAGUCGAUCCCAUAUGUUUGUGUGUAGCCUUUUGCAACCAGCCGAGCUUUGUAUCGCUCAAUAGAUCCAUCGGGUUUUCGUUUGAUUGUGAAAACCCAUCUGCAUCCCACAGUUUUCUUCCCUUUUGGCAACCGACACUUCUCCCAUGUGUGAUUCCGGUUUAGGGCUCCUAUCUCUUUCUUCAUAGCAUUUCUCCAAUGCUCGAUCUUCAGGGCUUGCUCUGCUGUUUGUGGAAUCUCCUCAUCAUAUAAGGCCGCUUCAUAGGCUGUGGCAUUUUUGGACAAGUUUCCCUUGGCGAUAUUCCCAAUUGAGUAUCGCGAAUUCCUCACAAUUUUCUCUGGGGUAUACCGUUUAGGAGGUACACCCCGAUUACUCCUGGGUGGUAGCACAUAUCUCCCAGUAUCUCCAUCUACUGUAUUAUCC